RNAcentral lists this ribosomal RNA (492 nucleotides) under uncultured bacterium. RNAcentral's name for it is "partial 16S ribosomal RNA". It matches the Rfam family "Bacterial small subunit ribosomal RNA", at positions 29 to 507 of the family's 1533-position model. The record is from RNAcentral.
AGUGAACGCUGGCGGUAGGCCUAACACAUGCAAGUCGAACGGCAGCACAGUAAGAGCUUGCUCUUACGGGUGGCGAGUGGCGGACGGGUGAGGAAUACAUCGGAAUCUACUUUUUCGUGGGGGAUCACGUAGGUAGACUUACUCUAAUACCGCAUACGACCUACGGGUGAAAGCAGUGGAUCUUCUGACCUUGCGCGAUUGAAUGAGCCGAUGUCGGAUUAGCUAGUUGGCGGGUUAAAGGCCCACCAAGGCGACGACCCGUAGCUGGUCUGUGAGGAUGAUCAGCGACAUUGGAGGUGGGACGCGGUCCAGACGCCUAAGGGAGGCAGCAGUGGGGAAUAUUGGACAAUGGGCGCAAGCCUGAUCCAGCCAUACCGAGUGGGUGAAGAAGGCCUUCGGGUUGUAAAGCCCUUUUGUUGGGAAAGAAAAGCAGCAGGUUAAGACGCCGCGGUUCUGACGGUACCCAAAGAAGAAGCACCGGCUAACUUCGUG